AAUUCGACGCUGGCGGCGUGCCUAUACAUGCAAGUCGAGCGGACAGAAGGGAGCUUGCUCCCGGAUGUUAGCGGCGGACGGGUGAGUAACACGUGGGUAACCUGCCUGUAAGACUGGGAUAACUCCGGGAAACCGGAGCUAAUACCGGAUAGUUCCUUGAACCGCAUGGUUCAAGGAUGAAAGACGGUUUCGGCUGUCACUUACAGAUGGACCCGCGGCGCAUUAGCUAGUUGGUGAGGUAACGGCUCACCAAGGCGACGAUGCGUAGCCCACCUGAGAGGAUGAUCGGCCACGCUGGUACUGAAACACGGCCCAUACUCCUAGGGGAGGCACCAUUACGCCUUCCUCCGGGUUGGACAAAGGUCUGACCGAACACCGCCGAGUGAAUUAUGGUUUUUUAACGUAAGGGCUGCUGUUUG
Molecule: ribosomal RNA, 419 nt
Filed under: Bacillus pumilus
Lineage: Bacteria; Bacillati; Bacillota; Bacilli; Caryophanales; Bacillaceae
Description: bacterial SSU rRNA
Rfam family: Bacterial small subunit ribosomal RNA
Source: RNAcentral